GCCUGAAGACGGGGAUAACUACUGGAAACGGUGGCUAAUACCCGAUGUGCUCGGCGAUUCGGUUCGUCGAGUAAAGCUCCGGCGCUUCGGGAUGGGCUGCGGCCUAUCAGCUAGUUGGUAGGGUAAUGGCCUACCAAGGCGAAGACGGGUAGGGGGCGUGAGAGCGUGGUCCCCCACACUGGCACUGAGACACGGGCCAGACUCCUACGGGAGGCAGCAGUCGGGGAUAUUGCACAAUCGGCGCAAGCCGGAUGCAGCGACGCCGCGUGGGCGAUGAAGAUCUUCGGGUUGUAAAGCCCUUUUCUGGGGGACGAGAAAGGACGGUACCCCAGGAAUAAGUCCCGGCUAACUACGUGCCAGCAGCCGCGGUAACACGUAGGGGACGAGCGUUAUCCGGAUUCACUGGGCGUAAAGAGCGUUGAGGCGGUUCUGUAAGUUGGGCGUGAAAGCCCCGGGCUUAACCCGGGGACGUCGUUCAAUACUGCAGGACUUGAGGGCAGCAGAGGGAGGUGGAAUUCCCGGUGGAGUGGUGAAAUGCGUAGAUAUCGGGAGGAACACCAGUGGCGAAGGCGGCCUCCUGGGCUGCUCCUGACGCUGAAGGCGAAAGCUAGGGGAGCAAACGGGAUUAGAAACCCCGGUAGUCCUAGCCGUAAACGAUGGAUGCUAGGUGUGGGGGGUAUAGACUCCCUCCGUGCCAAAGCUAACGCGUUAAGC
This 714-nucleotide ribosomal RNA is filed under the name uncultured bacterium. Its description in RNAcentral is "bacterial SSU rRNA". It matches the Rfam family "Bacterial small subunit ribosomal RNA", at positions 129 to 865 of the family's 1533-position model. The record is from RNAcentral.